AUUUUCACUCAUCUCUUUUUUUCAGUUGAAGUCUACAUCGAUACGAAGGUGACAAUUAUAUGUCAUAUGAGGGAUGAACGUCGUGUUAUAAUCUACGAGUAUAAUUUAGUAUAGAGCUAUAAUAAGUGAAAUAUGAAAUGA
RNAcentral lists this non-coding RNA (141 nucleotides) under Chaetoceros dichaeta. The record is from RNAcentral. Lineage: Eukaryota; Bacillariophyta; Thalassiosirophyceae; Chaetocerotales; Chaetocerotaceae.